GAAGGCUAGGCUAGCCGGGCGACGGUUGUCCCGGUUUAAGCGUGUAGGGGGUGUGACCUGGUAAAUCCGGUUGCAUACUAACCCUGAGGCGUGAUGACGAUGCACUACGGUGCAGAAGUAGUUGAUGCCCUGCUUCCAGGAAAAUCCUCUAAGCUCCAGGUAACAUUAAAUCGUACCCCAAACCGACACAGGUGGUCAGGUAGAGAAUACCAAGGCGCUUGAGAGAACUCGGGUGAAGGAACUAGGCAAAAUGGUGCCGUAACUUCGGGAGAAGGCACGCUGGCAUGUAGGUGAAGUCCCUCGCGGAUGGAGCUGAAGCCAGUCGAAGAUACCAGCUGGCUGCAACUGUUUAAUAAAAACACAGCACUGUGCAAACACGAAAGUGGACGUAUACGGUGUGACGCCUGCCCGGUGCUGGAAGGUUAAUUGAUGGGGUCAGCCGCAAGGCGAAGCUCUUGAUCGAAGCCCCAGUAAACGGCGGCCGUAACUAUAACGGUCCUAAGGUAGCGAAAUUCCUUGUCGGGUAAGUUCCGAC
RNAcentral lists this ribosomal RNA (535 nucleotides) under Serratia nematodiphila. RNAcentral's name for it is "partial 23S ribosomal RNA". It matches the Rfam family "Bacterial large subunit ribosomal RNA", at positions 1477 to 1987 of the family's 2925-position model. Lineage: Bacteria; Pseudomonadati; Pseudomonadota; Gammaproteobacteria; Enterobacterales; Yersiniaceae. The record is from RNAcentral.